Lontra canadensis (Northern American river otter) is the source of this 330-nucleotide non-coding RNA. The record is from the annotation of a RefSeq genome assembly. NCBI's taxonomy places the organism in Eukaryota, Metazoa, Chordata, Mammalia, Carnivora, Mustelidae.
AUGGCCUGGAUUCUGGUCUUUCUCACCCUCCUCACUGAGGGCACAACAUCCUGGGCCCAGUCUUCCCUGACUCAGCCAUCCUCAGUGUCUGGGGCUCUGGGACAGACAGUUACCAUCUCUUGUGAUGGAACCAGAAAUGACAUUGGAAAGUAUAAUGAUGUCGACUGGCACCAACAGUAUCCUGGCAUGGCCCCCAAAAUUCUAAUUUAUAAUGUAAAUACUCAGCCAUCAGGGAUCUCUGAUUGCUUCUCUGGCUCCAAGUCUGGCAACACAGCCUCCCUGACCAUCUCUGGGCUCCAGGCUGAAGAUGAGGUUGAUUGCUCAUCUUGA